UGCCCCGUACACAGCCCCGACGUCCUUCCCGUGUCUUUCCCGCGGUAGAAUUCCCGUGACUGCAAGCACGCUCAGUGAAAUACUACGUUACACAGCCCCGACCUCCUUCACUACUCUUUUACAGGGGUAGUGAUUAGCAGGGUUCAUUUUUUUCCAUUUAUUGAGCCGCUAAAGUCAUCAGUCAUCAGUUAUCAGGAAGGUCAUCAGGAGAGUCAUCAAUCAGCAUCUUCAUCAGUCAUCAGCCGGUCAUCAGGAAAAUCAUUAGGAAAGUCAUUAGGAAAGUCAUCGGUCAUCAGGAAAGUCAUUAGGAAAGUCAUCGGUCAUCAUUGUCUUCAGGCAGGAGAGUCAUCAGUCAGCAUCUCAAUCAUCAGUCAUCAGCUGGUCAUCAGGAAAAUCAUUAGGAAAGUCAUCGGUCAUCAGGAAAGUCAUUAGGAAAGUCAUCGGUCAUCAUUGUCUUCAGGCAGGAGAGUCAUCAGUCAGCAU
Long non-coding RNA from Eriocheir sinensis (Chinese mitten crab), 483 nucleotides. RefSeq lists it as uncharacterized. The transcript is spliced from 2 exons. Lineage: Eukaryota; Metazoa; Arthropoda; Malacostraca; Decapoda; Varunidae. The record is from RefSeq and is a predicted model, not a curated record.